This 455-nucleotide ribosomal RNA is filed under the name uncultured Acidovorax sp. RNAcentral's name for it is "bacterial SSU rRNA". It matches the Rfam family "Bacterial small subunit ribosomal RNA", at positions 924 to 1382 of the family's 1533-position model. The record is from RNAcentral. Lineage: Bacteria; Pseudomonadati; Pseudomonadota; Betaproteobacteria; Burkholderiales; Comamonadaceae.
CACAAGCGGUGGAUGAUGUGGUUUAAUUCGAUGCAACGCGAAAACUUACCCACCUUGACAUGUACGGAAUCCUUUAGAGAUAGAGGAGUGCUCGAAAGAGAACCGUAACACAGGUGCUGCAUGGCUGUCGUCAGCUCGUGUCGUGAGAUGUUGGGUUAAGUCCCCGCAACGAGCGCAACCCUUGUCAUUAGUUGCUACAUUCAGUUGGGCACUCUAAUGAGACUGCCGGUGACAAACCGGAGGAAGUGGGGAUGACGUCAAGUCCUCAUGGCCCUUAUAGGUGGGGCUACACACGUCAUACAAUGGAUGGUACAAAGGGUCGCCAACCCGCGAGGGGGAGCCAAUCCCAUAAAGCCAUUCGUAGUCCGGAUCGCAGUCUGCAACUCGACUGCGUGAAGUCGGAAUCGCUAGUAAUCGUGGAUCAGAAUGUCACGGUGAAUACGUUCCCGGGUCUU